Molecule: ribosomal RNA, 1348 nt
Filed under: metagenome
Description: bacterial LSU rRNA
Rfam family: Bacterial large subunit ribosomal RNA
Source: RNAcentral
UGAGUGCGAGCGGCUACGGCCGCGAAGUGGGUGAUGUCAAGCUUCCAAGAAAAGGCCUAUACCCGUUAAGGCAUGAUGGCCUGUACCCGAAACCGACACAGGUGGGGUGGUAGAGAAUACCGAGGGGCGCGAGGUAACUCUCUCUAAGGAACUCGGCAAAAUGGCCCCGUAACUUCGGGAGAAGGGGUGCCACCGCAAGGUGGUCGCAGUGAAGAGGCCCAGGCGACUGUUUACCAAAAACACAGGUCUCCGCUAAGUCGCAAGACGAUGUAUGGGGGCUGACGCCUGCCCAGUGCCGGAAGGUUAAGGAAGCUGGUCAGCGCAAGCGAAGCUGGCGACUGAAGCCCCGGUGAACGGCGGCCGUAACAAUAACGGUCCUAAGGUAGCGAAAUUCCUUGUCGGGUAAGUUCCGACCCGCACGAGAGGCGUAACGAUCUGGGCGCUGUCUCGGAGAGAGGCUCGGCGAAAUAGAAUUGUCUGUGAAGAUGCGGACUACGUGCACCCGGACAGAAAGACCCUAUGAAGCUUUACUGUAGCUUGGUAUUGUGCCCGGGCUCUGAAUGCGCAGGAUAGGUGGGAGGCUUUGAUCCAUGGCUUGCGGGUCAUGGUGAGCCAACGGUGAGAUACCACUCUUUCAGAGCUAGGGUUCUAACGGUCACCCGUCAUCCGGGGACCGGACAGUAUCAGGUGGGCAGUUUGACUGGGGCGGUCGCCUCCUAAAAGGUAACGGAGGCGCGCAAAGGUUUGCUCAGGCUGGUUGGAAAUCAGCCGACGAGUGCAAAAGCAGAAGCAAGCUUGACUGUGAGACCUACAAGUCGAACAGAGACGAAAGUCGGCUUUAGUGAUCCGACGGUUCUGAGUGGAAGGGCCGUCGCUCAACGGAUAAAAGUUACUCUAGGAUAACAGCUGAUCUCCCCCAAGAGUUCACAUCGACGGGGAGGUUUGGCACCUCGAUGUCGGCUCAUCGCAACCUGGGGCUGAAGUCGGUCCCAAGGGUUGGGCUGUUCGCCCAUUAAAGCGGUACGCGAGCUGGGUUCAGAACGUCGUGAGACAGUUCGGUCCAUAUCCGGUGCACGCGCAGGAACAUUGAGAGGAUUUCUCCCUAGUACGAGAGGACCGGGAGGAACGCACCUCUGGUGUGCCAGUUAUCGUGCCAACGGUAUACGCUGGGUAGCCAUGUGCGGAGUGGAUAACCGCCGAAAGCAUCUAAGUGGGAAGCCCACCUCAAGAUGAGUGUUCCCAUGGCAUAAGCCAGUAAGGUCACGGGAAGAACACCCGUUGAUGGGCUCUACGUGGAAGCCGGGUAACCGGUGAAGCGGAGGAGUACUAAUAGACCGAGGGCUUGACC